RNAcentral lists this ribosomal RNA (395 nucleotides) under uncultured bacterium. RNAcentral describes it as "bacterial SSU rRNA". It matches the Rfam family "Bacterial small subunit ribosomal RNA", at positions 505 to 898 of the family's 1533-position model. The record is from RNAcentral.
GUGUCAGCAGCCGCGGUAAUACGUAGGUGGCAAGCGUUGUUCGGAAUUAUUGGGCGUAAAGGGCGCGUAGGCGGCUCGUUAAGUCGGUUGUGAAAGCCCGGGGCUCAACCCCGGAGGGUCGACCGAUACUGGCGAGCUAGAGUACGGAAGAGGUAGCUGGAAUUCCCGGUGUAGCGGUGAAAUGCGUAGAUAUCGGGAGGAACGCCUGAGGCGAAGGCGGGCUACUGGGCCGAUACUGACGCUGAUGCGCGAAAGCCAGGGGAGCGAACGGGAUUAGAUACCCCGGUAGUCCUGGCCCUAAACGAUGGACACUUGGCGUGACGGGUCUCAACCCCUGUCGUGCCGGAGCUAACGCAUUAAGUGUUCCGCCUGGGGAGUACGGUCGCAAGGCUGAA